AAAACAGAGCUUACAGUCGCUUUAUGUAAAUAAAGAGGAAAGUCCGGGCUCCAUAGGGUAUGAUGCCGGCUAACAGCCGGGCUGUGUUUUUAUACAGAUGGAUAGUGCAACAGAAAAUAUACCGCCAUUUUAUGGUAAGGGUGAAAAGGCAGGGUAAGAGCCUACCGCAUACGAUGGUAACAUUGUAUGGCAGUGUAAACCCCAUCAGGAGCAAUGCCAAGCAGAAGGUUAACGACCCGUUAUUAAGCCUUCGGGUAGGCAGCUUGAUACAUACAGUAAUGUAAUGUACAGAUAGAUGACUGUUUUAAACAGAACCCGGCUUAUAUGCUCUGUUUUUCUU
This 340-nucleotide RNase P RNA is filed under the name Spirochaetes bacterium GWE1_32_154. RNAcentral's name for it is "RNase P RNA component class A". It matches the Rfam family "Bacterial RNase P class A". From Rfam's summary of the family: Ribonuclease P (RNase P) is a ubiquitous endoribonuclease, found in archaea, bacteria and eukarya as well as chloroplasts and mitochondria. The record is from RNAcentral. RNAcentral also lists the same sequence under 4 other names. Lineage: Bacteria; Pseudomonadati; Spirochaetota.